GCUGGAUGUGACAAUGAGGCACUCUUUGUUCUGCAUGCUUGAUUUAUUGUUGUUCACUACGGUCUUCUAUGGAAAUGCUACAGAAGAGGAAUCGAGACUUUUUUAAAUCAAGAAGAAGAGGAAGCGACUGAAGGCAAAGGGAAGAAUUAAAUGGUGAAAGUUGAAGGAGGAAGAAUGCUGCACAGGGAGGAGUUGAGAAGAUCUGGGUGGUAGGCAAGAAUUACCAGACGACUGGGAAAGUACAAUUGUAGAGCCAGUAAACCUCGGGCCUUAAUAACAGCACAUGAGGGAGUCAUACCAGCAGGGGGCAGUGUGACACUGAGCUGCUCUGUGGAGGGCUCUGC
Molecule: long non-coding RNA, 344 nt
Organism: Oreochromis niloticus (Nile tilapia)
Lineage: Eukaryota; Metazoa; Chordata; Actinopteri; Cichliformes; Cichlidae
Exons: 4
Source: RefSeq, a predicted model, not a curated record